UAUGUAGUCUAUGUGAUACUAGAUUGUAGUUGUUUUUGUUUUUAUUAAAUGUUACGAAGAUAAUGGUUGUUUGCUCAGCACCAAAUUGUUCGAAUAGGUCUAACAAGGGUUUUCGUCUUUUUAAAUUUCCUCGUGAUGACGCAAGAUGUUCUGUUUGUUUACAAAAUUGCAGACGUGAUGGAUGGAAGCCAACGUCUAAUUCAAGGAUUUGUGAAAGGCCAGAGAUCGGAGUUGCUGUCAUGCUGUGCUGCGAAUAGGAGGUGCCUUGGUGUCACUCCCGAAAACGGCUGGUUUUGGGGGGGACUUUGAAAAGUCACUUAACCAAAAAACACCUAUCGCAAGCAAAGACCCAGUAAGCACAUAUGAAGACUUUGAAUUUAAACUUCAGGCAUCCCGAUUAGAAAAUCAAGACAACCUUUCUACUGCAAUCCAAUAUGUUAUACUAAAUACGGUAAAUAUGUAGAGUAGCGGUAUAUGCGAAAAAAAAUGCUAAAAAUCCGAAAAUACUUUUAUUCUAUGCUCUUUCACUUCCUCUUUUCAAAUCAACCGGCGGAGGUAAGAAAUUCCAAAUACUUUAGGAGAUAUCGAAUUUUUUAAUUUUGAACAUGUAGAGUAGCGGUAUUUGCGAAAAAAAAUUCUAAAAAUCUUAAAUUACUUUUAUUAUAUGCUCUUUCACUUCCUCUUUUCAUUAAAACCGGCAGAGAUAAGAAAUUCACAAUACUUUAGGAGAUAUUGAAUUUUUUAAUUUAGCAAUACAACACCUGUACAACCAUUCGAACGACGCCAUUUUUGUUAUUUUGCCGUGUGUUCGUGGAACGUGAAUGCGUAAUAAAUAAAAUGGUCGAUUAGGUCAGGUCAGUUACAUUAUUAAUACUUUCAAACUAAGCGGACAUAAAAAAUAUUGUGAAUUAAUUUUAAUGGCUGUUUAGUUUUAAAAUAGGUAUUUAUAAUGUAACUAACCAGACCAAACAAACCGGGACAAAGGAUAAACAGUAGGAACUAAAAUGGUCGAUUAGGUCAGGUCAGUUACAUUAUGAAUACUUUCAAACUAAGCGUACAUUAAAAAUAAUAUGAUUUAAUUUCAAUGGUUAUUUAGUUUUAAAGUAUUUAUAAUGUAACUGACCUGACCUAUCAAACCCGGACAAAUGAUGAACAUUAACAACUCACGUAAAAAUUUUUUGUUACGUAUUACUUGCGCAACAAUAUCCAAAAAAAAAAUAAGAAUUUAAAAUUAGAAACGUUAAAAGCCCACCUAAGUUGGAGGCGGGUACAUUUCCUUUGCCAUUAGAAGGAAAUGAUGUAGUCGUUCACCUACGUCGUGAUACCUCCGACGGAACAUUAAUAAAUAAAUAAAUAAAUAAUCACGUAUUGGUUCAUUUGAAUACUGGCCAAUCACGGAACUGUCACGUGACAAAAUUGUCCAAUAAGAAACAUAAUAGAUACACGUAAACAAGAAACAAUGGUAAUCGCAGCAUGAAUACGCAGGUAUUGUGAUAAAAAUUAAAAAAUUCGAUAUCUCCUAAAGUAUUUGGAAUUUUUAAUCUCCGCCGGUUGAUUUGAAAAGAGGAAGUGAAAGAGCAUAGAAUAAAAGUAUUUUCGGAUUUUUAGAAUUUUUUUCGCAUAUACCGCGACUCUAGAUAUUUACCCUAAAUACAACUGAUUCUGAACCCAACAUUUUACUACCACAUUCACAAUAUGUCCUUAAACGAAAACUUAGAAGCAACAACCUGCCAGUCAAAAUAAACAAACUAAAAGACCUAAUCAACAAAUCCGGACAACUUCGAGGAAUCGAAAAUAUAAAUUGGCAAAACAAAACCAAAUACUUAACAUAGAAAUAUGGGGCAGAAUAACACUAUAAUACAACACAACAACAAAGAAAUGGGAAGAAACAAUUACAAAAAACUGAAAAUAAAAACUUUUUUUAUGAUGAUCGGUGGGCAUUAAAACACAUAGGUAGAAGAAGAAGAAGGAAACACACCACAACCCCCCCCCCCCCCCUUCCCAGCCAGGCGCCACUAGGGAGCGAGCCUGCUGCACAGUUCAAUAGUUUUAGAUAGUUAUAGUAGUAGUGGUAGAGUAGAGGUGUAGAGCAGAGUAGCAAAGUAGAGAAGAGAGGAAGUUUCGCCGUUUGCACUGAGUUCACGAAUUUCACGAACACCACCCAAAAGUACACCAGAAGGAAGAGAGAAGAGAGGAGGAGGAGAAGCCAGAAGAGAGAAGAAAUUAGCUGAGGAGAGAAUGGAAACCCAAGAAGAGCAGAAGAGGAAAAGAUUAGAAGGGGUAUCGGGGACCUGUGCUGUGGGUGAUGGAAACGGGACACCAGAAAGUGCAUGUGAAGAAGAUUCGUCGGACCUGGUAUUCGUUAGCGAAGACAUGGUGAAGAGAAGCGCCAAAUGAGGUGCAGAGGGAAAGCAGAUUACGAAUUGCCGAGGGUGAACUGGAGAACCGCGAUUUUGCCCGCUAAGUCACGCUGACAUCCAGGUUUGACCCAGUGGGGCAUCGAAUCCAGAUUGGCAUUGCGGGAGGCUGAGCAGAAAGAGCGAUGAUGCUGCGUGCGAGAUGAGGAUUGGAAACCUGCCUGAAAGUCGUCCGCACACCGGAACAGCCGGCUGAGCUGUUGCAUGCCUGCAGGGUGACACCCUCGCAGGCACGUUUGUUCCUCUAGCCUGCUUUCGAACUGCUUGCGUACUGCGGUGUUUGGACUUGUCCGUGCUUUGAAAGUGCCAGUCUUCUGUCCUGGAGUAGCCGAGGGCUUCAGACGUACCUGACGUGGCGUGAUGUUCCAGCCGUUGUCUUCAACUGCGAUGAACGUGAAGAGGAGCCUUGGAAGACACAGCUCAAUAGCUUCUUCCAUUUCAAAUGCCAAAUAUGUGACUGACUUACUGACCUUUUUUUAUUUAUUUAUUUAUUUAUUUAUUUUUUUAAUUUAAAUGUAUGCAUCUGGCUACACACUAGGUAUAGAAUUCUUACUGGGGAGCAUGUUGGGUGUCAGAAACCAAACAUUCUGUCGGGUGUGAAAGAAAUUUUGCAUGGCGGGGUGUGCUUGACUUUUAAAAGUAACUUUUUGCAACGAAUCGUACACACAAGACAUACAUAAUACGCUUCACCAAGGAAAGCAAUAGUUCAUUUACGGUAUGGGAAAUAGGUAGUAGUUUUCAGGCAAGGAAUGGCAUUAUUUUGCAUGCAAAAUGGAAUGAAAUUAACACAGAAAGUUCAGUGGUUCGACCUGACGGACAGAUUUUUUCCUUGUAAUGCAUUUCUCGCUGAGAAGUGAUCCUUCAUUGGUAAAAUAUGUGAAUGAUAGUUUCCAAAGAAAUUUGUUUGUUGAUCACAGUAGAGAUUAUACUGACGAGCAGUCCUUUUGUGGUGAAAAAUGUGGAUAGUCGUUUGCGAGUGUUUCUUGGCUUUGGAAACUAGGUCUUAUUGCAGGCAUAUGAUCACGCAACAGGUAGAGAGAGUUACAAAAUAUGCACAAAGUGUUUAGAAAAAUAUUAUGUUCUUGAGCACAGUAAAUUUCUUGCAGGAGAAUUUUCCUUAGCUGUCACCAUCUCUAUAAGUUAAUGCAUUCAUUCUUCAUGCUAGAACUCACAUGGUAUAAUGUUCUUUCAUUUGUGAGAUAUGUGGAUGAUUGUUUUCUCAAAGUAGUUCCUUUUAUUGUUUAAAACAUUAUUCCAACGGGCAAACACUCUUUUCAGCCGUGAAUAAUCAAGACAUUGAGGAAGACAGGAAAGUUGUAAUUAUUCUCACUUGUCACAGAAAAUCUUAGGAUCUCUUUAAGUAGUUAUUUCAGCCUACUUUUUACUAUGUACAAUUUCAUGUUUUUAAAAUCUACUUUGUUUAUGUUAAUGAAAGAGUUUGAUACAUAAAAACAUUUUAUUUUAAUUUGCAAGUAGUGUUUUCUCUAUGUUAGUUCUGUCCUUAUUCUGAGGUAACUAUGUAUACAAAUAUUUUUGUGGAACAAAAACUUUGUUUGGUGUCUUUGAAUAUUUUAAAGAUUAUUCAGUGCUGAGUGUUGUAAAGUAGUGAUGGGCCAGUCAAAUCCUAAAAUCCUUAGUAUUCGAAGGAUUUGAUGUUCGAGGAGAAAGAUUCAAAGAAAAAUAUCCUGUUACCAUUCCCCAAUGUAUUGUACUUAUAACAUGUGUUUAUAUGAAUAAAUUUACAAUAUUUGUUGAUUCUGGAAACUUAGUUUGUGAAACAAACAUUUAAAGAGUACCAUAGUUAAUGUUUUUUUUCAUUUAUUGUACAUUAUUUUGUUUUCGACACUUGACUCCUAGAUUCGUAUUUGAGAAAAUUGUGAUUUGGCCCAUCCCUAUUAUAAAGUUAAAUAAAUAUUUUGGUAAUGCAUUUAAAAGAAAAAUAAUAGUCCAAAUUUAUGGUAAUAUAAAAUAAAAUAUAUGUAUCAAUAUUGAAUCAAUUGAAUUAGUUUUUUAGAUCAUGUAAUAAAAUGAUAAUGUAAAGAGUCUUGCAUAUGAUAAAACAAAUGAAGCAUAACUUACAAGAAUGUUGAUAAAGAUAAGUUAUUUACUAUUUUAUUUAAUUCUAUAAUAUAAAUGUCAUAAGUGUCAAUUAACCACCAUUAGUGCCUAAUAUUGAAAACUAUAGAAAAUGUUUAGCCCAUCUUGGGGCAAUAACUCAAGAAUUGUUAGCUAACUGCUAUUUUUUUUUUUUAUUGUAAUAAAUUUGCUAUAUGUAGUAAAUUUUAAACAAAUGCAGUUCAAAUACUUUCUGUGUAUUGUCAUCUAUUGUACAAAUGUAACAAUAAUACAAUAAUCUAUAUUUGAUCUUAGUUUAAUUUUUGUGUACUAUUUGUUGACAGUUAAAAAAACUGCCAAAAGUAGAUGUCAAAUUAUUCAGUACACCAUGUACUUUUCUUAAUUUUUGAAAAACAAAAACAUAGCGAAUUGUAUGGUUUUCCAUGUAGCUUAUGAGCAUAAAUGUUUGAAAUAGGUGCUGGGAAAAUUAGCAUUUUUAAUGCAACUUAUUUAAAAUUUAAUAUAAGUGGAUGAAAACUAAAUAUUCAUAUACACAAAAGCCUAAAAAUAAAAUUCCAUUUCAGUUAUGUACAAAAUACAAUUUGUUCAUGCCUUUCCACCUUAAAACCACAAAAAUAAUUCAAUUCUUAUUUUUCUUUUCUUUUAAAAAAAGGCCAAUUCUUUUCUGUCAACAAUUUUGAAAACUUAAAAAAAUGUGUAGCACCUAAGUGUCAUUUUAUAAAGGUUGUUUUAUAAAUCAAUGACAUUUUACUGAUUUAGCUGAGGAAAGGCAAUAAUUUAGAAAAUUGGCUAAAAUAGCAUUUAAAGUGUAAAUUAAAAAAAAAAAAUGCUAAUUUUUCCUUCCCCUAGAAAUAGUCUUUGCACGGUUUGGUCGAUAUAUCGAAGGAAGCGAGCAAGUCAACUAUACUACGGUGUAGUGUUUUUUUUUUUUAAGGGAUUACCACAAUGCAAUUCAUUUUUGUUGUUAUAAUUUUUAUUUCGAAUGUUUCUUUUAUUAAGUAAUUUGAUUUUUUAUGUUAACUCAGGCACCAAAAAAAAAUUAAAAAAAUAUUUAAAACAUUUACAGUGUUCUGCAUAUUUAUUAAAAAUCCUUGCCUCUUCACAUGACACUUUUUAGCUCAAAAAUUAUAAUUUGGAAUGGCCACCAUCCAAACGGAAUGAAGGAGCAAGCAACCAGGAUAACCAGCUCAUGAGCUACCUCCUACACGGCAUCUAGCGUGGAUGAUCCUGUUCGUCGAUCCAAAAAAUGUGUUCGCAGUUUUACUGCUCUGUAUCAGUAAAUGUGUAUGUUGAUGUUGCUGUGUGCCUAAAAGCAUGUGAACUGUAUGUCAAUGAGUGAUCCAUCCUUGUGACAGCAGAAUAAAGUAUUUUCUAACUUUCACAA
Molecule: long non-coding RNA, 5877 nt
Organism: Bacillus rossius redtenbacheri
Lineage: Eukaryota; Metazoa; Arthropoda; Insecta; Phasmatodea; Bacillidae
Exons: 6
Source: RefSeq, a predicted model, not a curated record